Molecule: ribosomal RNA, 894 nt
Filed under: uncultured bacterium
Lineage: Bacteria
Description: bacterial SSU rRNA
Rfam family: Bacterial small subunit ribosomal RNA
Source: RNAcentral
AGAGUUUGAUCCUGGCUCAGGACGAACGCUGGCGGCGUGCUUAACACAUGCAAGUCGAACGGAAAGGCCCCUUUGGGGGUACUCGAGUGGCGAACGGGUGAGUAACACGUGAGUAACCUGCCCUUGACUUCGGGAUAACUUCAGGAAACUGGGGCUAAUACCGGAUAGGAAUCCUUGCUGCAUGGUGGGGGUUGGAAAGCUUCGGCGGUUUUGGAUGGACUCGCGGCUUAUCAGCUUGUUGGUGGGGUAGUGGCUUACCAAGGCUUUGACGGGUAGCCGGCCUGAGAGGGCGACCGGCCACAUUGGGACUGAGAUACGGCCCAGACUCCUACGGGAGGCAGCAGUGGGGAAUAUUGCACAAUGGGCGGAAGCCUGAUGCAGCAACGCCGCGUGCGGGAUGACGGCCUUCGGGUUGUAAACCGCUUUCAGCAGGGGCGAAGCUUUUGUGACGGUACCUGCAGAAGAAGCACCGGCUAACUACGUGCCAGCAGCCGCGGUGAUACGUAGGGUGCGAGCGUUGUCCGGAUUUAUUGGGCGUAAAGAGCUCGUAGGUGGUUGAUUGCGUCGGAAGUGAAAACUUGGGGCUUAACCCUGAGCGUGCUUUCGAUACGGGUUGACUUGAGGAAGGUAGGGGAGAAUGGAAUUCCUGGUGGAGCGGUGGAAUGCGCAGAUAUCAGGAGGAACACCAGUGGCGAAGGCGGUUCUCUGGACCUUUCCUGACGCUGAGGAGCGAAAGCGUGGGGAGCGAACAGCUUAGAUACCCUGGUAGUCCACGCUGUAAACGGUGGGUACUAGGUGUGGGGUCCAUUCCACGGAUUCCGUGCCGUAGCUAACGCAUUAAGUACCCCGCCUGGGGGAGUACGGCCGCAGGCUAAAACUCAAAGGAAUUGACGG